RNAcentral lists this transfer RNA (75 nucleotides) under Candidatus Moraniibacteriota bacterium. Its description in RNAcentral is "Candidatus Moranbacteria bacterium (groundwater metagenome) tRNA-Glu". It matches the Rfam family "tRNA". From Rfam's summary of the family: Transfer RNA (tRNA) molecules are approximately 80 nucleotides in length. Their secondary structure includes four short double-helical elements and three loops (D, anti-codon, and T loops). The record is from RNAcentral. Lineage: Bacteria; Candidatus Moraniibacteriota.
GUCGCUAUCGUCUAACGGUUAGGACAUCAGGUUCUCAUCCUGGAAAUCGGAGUUCGAUUCUCCGUAGCGAUACAA